RNA transcript from Homo sapiens (human), 10668 nucleotides. It is a transcript of the gene named N-terminal glutamine amidase 1, with no coding region annotated. NCBI's taxonomy places the organism in Eukaryota, Metazoa, Chordata, Mammalia, Primates, Hominidae. The transcript is spliced from 8 exons. The record is from RefSeq and is marked validated.
ACUACAAGCCCGCCCUUUCCUACGUCUGGUCCAGUCGGUCUUCCUCCGGCCCGGGCCCUGGCCCAGCUAGCCGGCCAUGGAAGGUAAUGGCCCCGCUGCUGUCCACUACCAGCCGGCCAGCCCCCCGCGGGACGCCUGCGUCUACAGCAGCUGCUACUGUGAAGAAAAUAUUUGGAAGCUCUGUGAAUACAUCAAAAACCAUGACCAGUAUCCUUUAGAAGAAUGUUAUGCUGUCUUCAUAUCUAAUGAGAGGAAGAUGAUACCUAUCUGGAAACAACAGGCGAGACCUGGAGAUGGACCUGUGAUCUGGGAUUACCAUGUUGUUUUGCUUCAUGUUUCAAGUGGAGGACAGAACUUCAUUUAUGAUCUCGAUACUGUCUUGCCAUUUCCCUGCCUCUUUGACACUUAUGUAGAAGAUGCCUUUAAGUCUGAUGAUGACAUUCACCCACAGUUUAGGAGGAAAUUUAGAGUGAUCCGUGCAGAUUCAUAUUUGAAGAACUUUGCUUCUGACCGAUCUCACAUGAAAGACUCCAGUGGGAAUUGGAGAGAGCCUCCGCCGCCAUAUCCCUGCAUUGAGACUGGAGAUUCCAAAAUGAACCUGAACGAUUUCAUCAGUAUGGAUCCCAAGGUAGGAUGGGGCGCCGUCUACACACUAUCCGAAUUUACACAUCGGUUUGGCAGUAAAAACUGCUGAACUUGGUCUCAAGAUGUGGAACUGUGGAGAAAUUCUAGGACAUGAACAAGCUAUCCUUUCAUCGAGGACAGCAAACAUUAUGAUGAAAUGGUGAUGACUGGAGUGACCUCGGAAGCUACUUAUCAAAGGCAGAAGAGCCACCAUCAGCCUGGAUUCCUGAUAACUCUAUGGAGCCGAGUUGCAUGCCUGCCUAAAUAGUAUAUUGUGGAACUCUUUCAUAGGAGACAAACUUAUGUAUUUUUUAAGUCACAGAAUUCUUGUUUGUCAUUCUGCAUGAAAGUCAUUUUAAAUCCUGUCCAAGAGGACCCUCUGGGAGGGUGAGAGGAAGCCAAAGAGUGAAGUCUGAGUGGACGGGAUUGCCAGAGAACCAGGGGCUGAGGGCAAUAGCAGCUGGAAUGGAAUGCUUCUCCCUUGUUCUGAGAAUUACAACUGGAGAGGUUCCCAGAGAUGGGAAUCACCAAAGAUCCCAAGAAAAGUGCCCCAAGUGAGAGGCAGCUUUAUAUAGCUGCAAAGCCCAGUGAGCAGGAAGUCAGCUUACAACUGUGCCACUCAGAAGCCAAUUAAAGUAGCUCCAGACAUAACCACUUACCUCUUUGCCGUCUGUCCAUUUGGGCAUGGGAUCCAAGCCAGUAGCUAGUGAGUGGAGGAGGAUUAUGGCGCAUGGUGCAAGACAGAAGAAAAUGACUACUUUCCCCUCACCUCCCUGGGAACUGCCAGCUCUCGCAAAGAAGGGGAAGAAAUCUUUUGAGUGAAAAUGGAAUUGUUGAUGAAUAGAAUGAACUGACUCACUGAAUUACUCUAGUAAGACCAUGUUUGUGACUUGAUGUGACCAUCAGACUGUCAUUACUUGAAAGUGACACAGCAGGCAGGAGCCUGCAAUUGUUUUCAUCUGGAGUGAGGACAAGAUUCUUUUCUCCUGCUGCCCCUCCUCCCUUUUCCCCCCUGGCAAACUGUAUACAUGGAUGUGCAAAUAUCUCUUUGAGAUCUUGUUUUCAGUUCUUUUGGAUAUAUACCAAGGAAUGGGAUUGCUGGUCAUAUAAUUGCUGGUAAUUCUAGUUUUAAUUUUUUGAGGAACCUCCAUUCUGUUUUCCAUGGGCGAUACCAUUUUACAGUAAAGGGAUGAUGGAAGAAAAACAAUAAAGUGGCAUUUUGAUUAUGUUACCCUAUCAGUUACAUAAAUAACUUGGAAAUAAACAUCUUCUAUAUAUAAGUUCUUUUUUUAAUAGUAUAAUUUUCCUUAGAGCAAAUUCCUGAGCAUGGUAUUAAUAGGUCAAAGGACCAGGAAAUGUUUGUGGUUCUUGAAACAUAUUCCAAAUUGCUUUUCUUUCUUUCUUUUUCCUUUUUUUUUUUUCUCAGUCUGUUGUCCAGGCUGGAGUGCAGUUGCGUGAUCCCGGCUCACUGCAAGCUCCGCCUCCUGGGUUCAAGUGAUCCUCAGCCUCCCUCAGCUGGAACUACAGGCAUGCACCACCAUGCCCGGCUAAUUUUUGUAUUUUUAGUGAGAUGGGGUUCCGCCAUGUUGGUGAAGCUAGUGUUGAACUCCUGGCCUCAAGUGAUCGACCUGCCUUGGCCUCCUAAACUGCUGGGAUUACAGGAAUGAGCCACUGCGCCCGGCCGCCAAAUUGCUUUUCUAAAUGUUUGUGCCAACUUACAUUCCCACCAGAUAUUGUAUGAAGGUUUUAUCACAUAUUCAAUGGCAUGAGAUAGUGUUAUGAGAUUGUUAAUGUAAUGGGAUUUAAGUACCAUUUUGAUGUUUGAAAUAAUUUUUAAAGUGUUUUCAUAAAAUAAUUCUUGCAUUAAGUGUUUUAUCAAUGUCUUUAAGCUUGGCUUUAGUAUCUUGAGUAUAGAAUGUAGCUGAGGGUCUGAUUUCAUAAAUUAAUUACUGGCCAUUCAUAUCCAGGUUCCAGAGGGUUCCUUGGAGCAGUUAGAACCAGACCAAAUCCUGUAGAAUUGUGAGCAAGGAAGAAAGGGAGAGGCAAGGGCCAGAGGAGCAGUGAAUAUGAGAGACAGGUUCAAGGUAUCUAUUUUUAUUUUAUUUGUUUAUUUAGAGAUGGAGUUUUGCUCUUGUUGCCCAGGCUGAAGUGCAAUGGCACGGUCUCGGCUCACUGCAACCUCUGCCUCCCGGGUUCAAGCGAUUCUCCUGCCUCAGCCUCCCAAGUAGCUAGGGUCACAGGCGCCAGCCACCACUCCCCGCUAAUUUUGUAUUUUUAGUAGAGACAGGGUUUGCCAUGUUGGUCAGGCUGGUCUCGAACUCCUGACCUCAAGUGAUCCACCCGCCUUCACCUCCCAAAGUGCUGGAGGUUCAGGAUCUCUAAAUGAGAGGUAAACAAACUGAAGCAGGAGGCCAGAUCAAGGAGAUGCCCACCAUGAUGUCAGGAGGUGAGUUGGGAAAGGGCCUCAGGAGAUAGGGAUUCUUGCGUGGCCCCCAAAGGGGGUAGUGGGGUAGGGAAUAAGCUUCCUCCUACCCUAAGCACCAAUAAAUUCAAAACUUUAUUUAUGUAUUUAUCUAUUUAUGGUAAAAAUAUAACAUAAAACUCACUAUCUUAAAGUGUACAGUAGUGUUAAGUAUAUUUGCAUCAUCAUGCCACAGAUCUCCAGAAGUUUUCAUCUUGCAAAUGGAAACUCUGUACUCAUCAAACAACUCCCCAUUUUCCUCUCUCCAUAUCCCCCCACUAACUGCCAUUCUACUUUCUGUUUCUAUCAGUUUAACUACUUUAGAUACCUCGUAUACGUGGAAUCAUAAAGCAUUUAUCUGCAUUAUUUUACUUAGCUUAAUGUCCUCCAGUUUCAUUCAUGUUAUAGUGUAUGAUAGGAUUUUCUUAUUUUGAAGGACUGAAUAAUAUUCCAUUGUAUGUAUAUAUCACAUUUGCUUUAUCAUUUUUUCCAUCACUGAACAUUUAGGUUCCAUCCACCUCUUGGCUAUUGUGAAUAAUACUGCAAGCGACAUAGAUGUGCAAAUAUCUCUGUGAGAUCUUGUUUUCAGUUCUUUUGGAUAUAUAUCAAGGAAUGGGAUUGCUGGUCAUAUAGUUGCUGGUAAUUCUAUUUUUAAUUUUUUGAGGAACCUCCAUUCUGUUUUCCAUGGGCUCUACCAUUUUACAUUCCACAAACAGUGCACAAGUGUUUUAAUUUCUUUAUGUCUUUACCAGCAAGCACUUGUUAUACAGUCUCCCUUCUUUCUUUUCAUAGUGGGCAUCCUAAUGGGAGUGAGGUGAUAUCUCCUUGUGGUUUUCAGUUGCAUUUUUCUGAUGAUUAGUAAUGCGAACAUCUUUUCAUGUGCUUGUUGGCCAUUUGUAUAUCACUUUUGGAGACAUGUCUGUUCAAGUACUUUGCCCGUUUUUUAAUUGGGUUAUUUGAUUUUUGUUGUUGAGUUGAGGGAAUUCUUUAUAUAUUCUAGAUAUUAGUCCCUUCUCAGAUGUAUUAUAUGAGCAUAUUUUCUUCAAUUCCAUAAGUUGCCUUUUCACUAUAUUGAUUGUAUCUUUUGGUGCACAAAAGUUUUUAAGUUUGAUAUAAUUCCAUUUGUCUACUUUUGCUUUUUGUUGCCUAUGCAUUUAGUGUCAUACCAAGAAAUCAUUGGAAAUAUGUUUUUUCAUUUGUUUAAGCCUGUAGGAGGAAAUACGGUUUGAGUGAACUUUAACAUCUUGGAAAAGUAAGCCUUGGUCAAGCUUACAGACAAGAGACUAGGCUGGUUAUUCAUCCUGUGAAACAGCCCUACAAAUUUACCUACACCAUGGAAUCCAAGAUCCCACUGAUAAUGUGAACUUACUCCUUUUUGUUUGUCUUCUCCCUUCUAAUGUUAAUUUUUUUAACUGCAGGAAAAAUAACAAAAUAACAGAAUUCUUCUUUUAUAAGAUAGAUUUGGGAGCAUGUACUGAUCUUUUGAGUGAGGUGGAGAGGUCAAAAUAAAAAUACUAAAAUGUGAAUAAAACUUUGAGACUUAGAUGGAGACCUAGUUAAACCUUUUCUUCAAAUGCCAUCAAUGCCAAAGAGCAGCAGUUGUUUUACUAAUUCAUUCACCAAAAGUGAUUAUCAAACGUCUACUAUGUUCUGGGCACUAACUAGCCAAGGCAAUAUAGGUGUGUAUAAGAGGCAAGUCUCUGCUGUCUGUGAGUCUAUGCAGAAUCUCGUCUUCCGUUAGAAGCAUCAACAAACAUGUAUUGCCUGCCCUCCCUCUGCUAGAAGUUUGGGGAGACAUGUUAUGGACUAAAUGUUUGUGUCCCCCAAAAUGUACAUGUUGAAGCCUUAACGCCCAAUGUGAUGGUAUUUGGAAGUGAGGCUUUUGGGAGGUAAUUAGAUAUAAAUGAGGUCAUGAAGGUGUGGUCCCCAUGAUGGGAUUAGUGGCCUUAUAAGAAAAGAGACAAGAGAGGUUCUUCUCUUUUUCUGCCACAUGAGGACACAGUAAGAAGGCAGCUAUCUACAAGCCAAGAAGAGGGUCCUCACUAGGAACUGAAGCCUGCUGGACCUUGAUUUUGAAAUUUCCAGGCUUCAGAGCUGGGAUUCCUGUGUUUAAGCCACCACCCAGUCUAUGGUAUUUUGUAUGGCAGCCGAAACAGACUAAUACAAGGCAUAAGGGACAGUGAGAUGCUGUUCAUCCUCUCAAGGGUUCGUGAACUUGUUACCGUGGCCUCCGCAGUCCCUGUGUUCACUUAUCUUUGCUAAGGGCAAAUCACUGAUGAGAUGGACGCAUUUUAUAACUGGAGAAUAAAAGGGAUGAGGCCCUACAGGCUGAGGGUUACAACCAGGUGUCUGAAGGAGUCAGUGUCCCAAAGAGUGAGAAUAGUGGAGUGUGUAAGUGGAGAAUAACCAGGUAGGUGCUUAAAAGUGAACCUGUGUUGACUGUAUUCACUUAUUUCAUAAGACAACUUUUGGAGGCCAGACACACCACCUUUAAAAAGUAAUUGUAUAAGUGUCCUAGUGCUGUGCAUGAAGUCCCAUAAACUGGGUGCUUUUUAAACACCCAGUUGUUUUUACAAUAGAAGUUUAUUUUCCCACAGUUCUGGAGGCUGGAAGUCCAAAAUCAAGGUGUCAUCAAGCCUAUGCUUCAUUUGAAAACUAGAGGGGAGAAUCCUUUCUUGCCUCUUUUAGCUUCUGGUGUUUGGUGGUAAUCCUUGGUGUUUCUUGGCUUGUAGAUGCUUCACUCCCAUCCCUGCCUCCAAAGUCAUAUCGUCAUCCUCUCCCUGUGUGUUUCUCCUUCCUUUUUUCUUUUUUUUUUUUCUUUUUUUGAGACAGGAUAGCACGCUGUUGCUCAGGCUGGAGUGCAGUGGCAUGAUCAUAGCUCACUGCAACCUUGACUUCCUGGGCUCAGGUGAUCCUCCUGCCUCAGCCUCCCAAGUAGCUGGGACUACAGGCAUGCACCACCAUGCCUGGCAAAUUAAAAAAAGAUUUUUUUUUUUUGGUAGAGACGGGGUCUUGUUAUGUUGCCCAGGCUGGUCUCGAACUGCUGGGCUCAAUCAGUCCUCCUGCCUUGGCCUCCCAAAGUGCUGAGAUUACUGGUGUGAGCCACCAUGCCUUGCCUCUGCUUCCUCUUAUAAGGACAUCAGUCAUACCAGGUUAAAGGCUCACUCUACUCCACUGUGACCUCAUCUCAAAUAAACUAAUUACAUCUGCAACAACAUGAUUUCCAAGUAAGGUCACAUUCUGUGGUACUGGGUAUUAGGACUUUGUUGUAGUCAGGGUUCUCCAGAGAAACAGAGCCAAUAGGAUGGUUCCGUCUCUAUAGAUAGAAAUAAAUUUAUUAUAAGGAGUUGGCUCACAUGAUUAUGGAGGCUGGAAAGUCCCAAGAUCUGCAUAGUGAAUCAACAAGCUGGAGACCCAGUGGUUUAGUUCCAGGCUAUGUCCAAAGACCUGAGAUCCAGGAGAGCUAAUGGUAUAGUUUCAGUCUGAAGUCCAGCAGGCUUGAGACCCAGGGAGAGCUGAUGUUUCAGUUCAAGUACAAAGACAGGAAAAAAUUAAUGUCCCAGCUCAAAGGCAGUCAAGGAGAAACUCUCUCUUACUCAAGGGAGAAUGAGCUUUUUAUUCUAUUUAGACCUUCAAUGAUUGGAUGAGGGCCACCCACAUUAGGGAGGGUAAUCUGGUUUACUCUGUCUACCAAUAUAAGUGUUACUCUCAUCCAAAAACACUCUCACACAAACCCCCAGGAUAAUGUUUGAUUAAAUAUCUGGGCACCCCAUGACCCAGUUAAGUUGACACGUAAAAUUAACCAUCACACUUUAAAAUAUCUUUUUGGGAAGCACAAUUCAACCCAUAAAAGUAAUAAUCAUGCCUAGAGAACUUUUUUAGUUGAAGAGAUAGAAAGUUUAAUUCAAAUCUGUACCUGUUGCUUUGUACUGUUAUUUGAUAGGGGUCUUACCCCACUCCUAUCCAUCAAGGCUGGCAGAGGCUAUUUUCCAGGAUUUUAGGGUUGCUGGCAGCUGGGCAGUGACUCAGGAGAGUUGUGAGUGGGGACAGAAAGGAAGGAAGUAUGCCAAACAGUGCUAAAAAAUAUCCAAAGCUAAGAAAUGUGUAAUUAGCCCUGACCUCCUUUGCCCUUCCUCCUUACUAAAGCAGAGUGGGUGAAAUGGCUCAUGGGUUAUUAAUUGCCCUCUGCUGGUCACUUUACAGGCAUGGCUUCCCAUUUGCUUACUUUAUUUUCUAGGGAUGUCAGCAAAUUACCACAAACUUGAUGACUUAAAGCAACAGUAAUAUAUUGUCUCAUAGUUCUGGAAGUUAGAAGUCUAAAAUCAAGGUGUCACAGGGUCCAUGCUCCAUCUGAAGUUGUCCAGGGACUGAAGUGUCCAAUCCUUCCUUGCCUAUCCCUAGUUUCUGGUGGUUCCUGGCAAUCCUGGUGUUCCUUGGCUUGCAGCUGGCUCCCCACAAUAUCUGCCUCCAUUUUACAUGGCCUUCCCUCUGUUUCUCUGUGUGCCCUCUCUUAUAAAAACAGCAGUCAUUGGAUUUAAGGUCCACCAUAAUCCAGCAUGACUUUAUUUUAAGUUAAUUACAUUUGCAGAAACCCUGUUUCCAAACAUGUCACAUUCUAAAGUUCUGGAUAGACAUGCAUUUUGAGGGAGAUGCUAUUCAACCCCCUAUACUAAAACUCUUUUUCUGUGGAAGAGAAAGAGGCAGGGAGAGUAACUUGUCCAGAUCACUGUUAAGUGGUUGAGCUGAGCUUUCAUGUGUACUCAUUAGCCAAAGUGUCUUCCUUCUUCCCCUCUGCCCUCUUCCCUCUUUCCUUUCAUCGCCUAUUUUCUUAUCCAAGGAUGCCCUGGAUAUUAGUUUACCUUCAUUUGAAUGGAGAAAAAUGCCCAUUGUUAACUGUUAACUGUUGGGGUGAGGGGAUGGGAAGGUGUUCAGUGGAAGGUCUCUCAAUCUCCUUGAGAGUUAGUUUACUUUUUUUGCAAAAAUGGAGAAAAUGAAACUUGUCUCAUUUGGUGGUUGCAUGUAUUAUUAAAUCACAUACAACCGAUCACAAAAUCAAUGUGUAAGAAAGUGUCUGGGAAAAUCUUCCAAGGCAUACAGCCCUGAGGGACUUUUGUAGAAAAUCAUUUAGAAAGUAAGGCAUCCAUUACUCACCUAGGGUAUUAAUUAAUUUGUAUUCUUGAAAUUCUUUUUUUUUUUUUUUGAGAUGGAGUCUUGCUCUGUUGCUUAGGCUGGAGUGCAGUGGCGCGAUCUUGGCUCACUGCAACUUCCGUGCCCUGGGCUCAACCAAUUCUCCUGCCUCAGCCUCCCAAGUAACUGGGACUACAGGCACAUGCCACCACACCUGGCUAAUUUUUGUAUUUUUAGUAGAGACGGUUUCACCAUGUUGCCUAGGCUGGUCUCGAACUCCUGACCUCAACUGAUCUGGCCUUGGCUUCCCAACGUGCUGGGAUUAUAGGCAUGAGCCACCAUGCCCGGCCUGUAUUUUUGAAUUUCUACAUUGUUGACAUGCCUUGAAGUCUUAGACGAUGAGCAAGAAACAGAAAUCAUGUAGCACAUAUAUUCAACAUUCCCACGUAAUUUUAGGUUUCUAUUUGGUCUCUUUCAAGCGGUAAGUAAUUUACUUUGAUCUUCUCUGCUAGGUUAUAACAAAAGUUGACAUUGUAGCUCUGCCACUCACUAGAAAUAUCAUCUUGUUUAUGUUAUUUAACUUUAUGACCUCUAAUUGUGAAGGUUAAAGGAAAGAGCACAUAUAAAAGCUCCUGGUACAUUAUGGUUAGUCAGGAAGUAAAAGUUUUUUUUUUAAAUUGCAUUGUUAUUAUUAUUACUGUUAUUAUUAAUAUCAUUGGUAUGCAAGACACUGAGUUAUACAUAUUUGACUUGUGAACAUAUUUGUUAUUUUAAAAAUUGAAAUAAUUUGUCUUAAAAAAGUUACAAAAAUAGUACAGACAAUUCCCAUAUAUUUCGUCACCCAGCUUCCCCUACUGUUUAACAUCUUACAUAAGCACAGUAUGAUGAUCAACACUGGGAAAUUAACAUUGCUACAAUACUAUUAAGUAAACUAUAGAUUUGACUUGAAUUUGCAGGUUUUCCCAUUAACGGUUUUUUCUGAUCCAGGAUCCAAACCUUGAUCUCCAAUUGAACUUAGUUAUGAGAAGGAGACAAACUUAGUCUUUUAUAACUUAGUUUUUCCUUGUCUUUCAUGAUUUUGACACUUCUGAGGAAAGCUGGUCAGUAACCUUGUAGAAUGCCCUCCAAUUUGGCUUUGUCUGUAUUUUCUCUGAUUAAAUUGAGAUAAUACAAUUUUGGCAAGAAUACCUCAGAAGUAAUGUUGUGUCCUUUCUCAUACACCAUAUCCAGAAGUACACAAUGCUAGUAUAUAUUAUUACUGGUGAAAUUAACAUUGAUCUCUGGGUUAAAGUGGUGUCUUCCAGGUUUCUCCACUAAAUUACCAUUUUUCCCUCAGUGACUAACAGAUAUCUUGGGGAAAUACUUUAAAACUACGCAAAUAUUGCCAGGCGUGGUGGCGUAUGCCUGUAAUCCUAGCACUGUGGGAGGCCAAGGUGGGCGGAUCACUUGAGGUCAGGAGUUCGAGACCAGCCUGGCCAACAUGGUGAAACCUUGUCUCUACCAAAAAGUGGUGGUGUGCGCCUAUAAUCCCAGCUACUUGGGAGGCUGAGGCAGGAGAAUAGCUUGAACCCAGGAGGAGGAGGUUGCAGUGAGCCGAGAUCCUGCCAUUGCACUCUAGCCUGGGGGAUAAGAGCAAAACUCUGUCUCAAAACAAAAACAAAAACAAAACUAUGCAAAUAUCCUGUUUCUUGUACCUUCACCCACUAGUUUUAGCAUCUAUGGAUGAUUCUUGCCUGCCACAAUUAUUACUAUGGCAUUUGCCUAUUAGUGAUUUUCUGUUUCCUUCAUUUCUUCUCUAUUAAUAGGAAUUCUUCUCUAAGAGAGAGUUAUUCUCCUCCCUCAUUUAUUUUUUUAUAUCAAUAUGGGCUGAUGAAUAUUUAUUUUAUUUUAUGGGUUAUAAUCGAACACUGUCAUUAUUUAUUUUGUUGCUCCAGUGGUUCCAGCUCUGGGCAUUAGGAGCUUAAACAGGUUGGCUCCUGUAUCCUUUCAACAUGCCUCAUUAUUUUUAGUGCUUUCUUGCUUUUUGAUGCUUACUUUUUAAUCUAGGCUCAUCUUGUACUUUCUUUGCCCCAACCAUGGAAUUGAUCUUUUCUCCAAAGAACUCUGAUUCCUUUUAUUGGAAAAUGGACUUAGGAACCAAGAUCUUGGCAUUGAGUAGUCUCAUUGCUACUGGGGUUUCAUUGCUUCUGCGUCCUCUCAGUGGACAGAGUUUGGAAAUAUAUGCAGGUAUGCUAACACACAUACAUAUGUUUAUAUUUGUAAAUUAUAAAAUUGUAUAAUUUUAAAUUUCUGUAUUAUAAAAUUAUACAUAUGUUAUAAAUCUAUGUUUAUUUCAACAUAUAUCUGUAUAACUAUUAAGGACCACAAUGAAUACAUUCAAAGGUAAAUGUGUGAAUAUCUCUAAGGCAUACUUCUACUUAUCUCCUAAUAAUAAAGAGAGUAGGUCCAUUACACUA